RNAcentral lists this long non-coding RNA (1735 nucleotides) under Canis lupus familiaris (dog). Its description in RNAcentral is "lncRNA (ENSCAFG00805021851.1, ENSCAFG00845030302.1)". Lineage: Eukaryota; Metazoa; Chordata; Mammalia; Carnivora; Canidae. The record is from RNAcentral.
UUUUUUUUUUUUUUACAGUCAUUUGUACAAUUUGUUACAAAACCAUAGAAGACUACAACUUGUUUGAAAUCAUUUUUGGUCGGCAAAUAUGUAAAAUCUGUGUGCAAUUAUCAUGUAUUUACAGGGCCUCGUGUUAGUCAUUUUCAAUGAUUAUUCCAACAAUGUCACGCUCUCAACAUAAGACAUGGCUUAAGAUAAAUAUAUUAGUAAAUAAAUAUUCUGAGAACAUAUUUCCAUAAAUGAAAUGUGCUGCUAUACAUAUACAGAAUAUACAUAAGUUGUUUUCUAGCCUUUAAAACAUUAAAAAAAAUGGUAAUGUUGGAGAAGGAGCCCUUAGACCAUUUUAUUACAAAAUCUUUACAGCAAAGUCUUUACAAAAUAUCUUUUAAGUGCUAUGGGAGAAAUAAAAAACAAAACAAAACAAAACAUUUUAAAAUAGUGUCGUUAGACCAACACAAUAGAGUCUAUAUAAAGAAUAGAAAAAGGCAGGUCUGUUUAAAAAAUAAUACUCAGAUUAGUAAUUAUUUUUUAGACCUCAUUUUAAAAGCAUUAGUCCUGCAUGAGCUUUGAGUAGAAACUAGCAGCACAUAAGGGAGGGUCUGAGUGGUGGGACAGCAGAUUGGGCUUUAUAAAAUGGCUUGGGUUCAAGAGAGGUGGGAGAGAUUGAGAGAGUCAGAGCCAGCAUAGAGAGGUACCUUGUUGAUCAGAAUUCCCAAACCCCCAUAUUUUUAACUGGUUCCAGUACUCUGCAGUUUACAUGGCUGUCCUAUACCCAGGGCUUGGCCAUGGGGACCAGGCCUAACAGUCACAAUCUGGCUUGGGGGUGGGCAGUGAUGGUGCAGAUUCUCAAUGGAAAAUGUGAUGCUCCCAGUUUCCAAGGCUAUAUGACCCCAACACACCACUGAGAGGCCACUGACAAAGGUCAUGAUUACUGGAGUCUUAAAAUCUUCAAAGAAGACAUUUCUUUUGAUUUAAAUGGUGAGGCAAUAAUAGAGUUGUUCCUAUAUUCUGGUGACCUCCCUGUCUGGUGAAUUUAAGACAAUGGCUGAUAUUCAAAAUUUUAACAUUUUCACUUUUCUGCUUCUACUGCCCUGUAAAGUACAAAAAUUAAAUGUUGUUUCUUUUUGCCAUCUGUAAUUAUUGCUCUUUCAAAUGAAAAUUGGACACAUUUAUUUUAAUAAGCCCCGUGGAAGCCACAUUAUCUACUCAUCUAUUUAUUGCUUAAGGCUAUUGAGGAGUAGUUUCCCAGACUGGGCUAAAGAAAGCCACUUUGAGGGUAUGGUUUCAGACAAAGGAGAUAAUGUGCACUCAAAGGCAUUAAAAACAAAACGACAAAAAACAAAAAUCUCAACAAUGAGAAGCUGCUUUUUGCAGUUCAUGUUAGAAGCCAUACCCCCCACCCCCUUCCCUAAAACCACGUAAUGCAAGCUGUUGUCCUCAGCAGCUGCUACUCCUGGCCUGAGAAAUAAAGGCAGCCCGGAUCACAUGUCAACAGCUUAGGCGCUUCUCACACCCUCGCCAACAGGUGUGCUGGGCAUAGGCCGGGGUGGGGGCGGGGGGCAGCAGCCCCCAAAGGACUAUACCUCAGAGGCUGGAGGACAAAUCUCACUGCAUUGAGUUCCUAAAUGGCAAAUGGCUUGAUCAUUUGAUGCUAGAAUUUCUUUCUGUCAAAGCCUGGCUAGAAGGCUAAAUGUCCUCAUCACGGGCUGGGUUUAAAAAAAAAAAAAAAAAAAAA